GGGAGCGGGAUGCACCCUGGGGGAAACCAGAUCCAAAAAUAAUGGCCUGUAAGUGUCAGGCUGUAAAGGUGUCUCAGCUUGGAUCUUCUGAGGCCGACGGAUUUUGACAAAGAUUUGCAAAAGCACAACUCCGUAUUGUGGAAGUUCAUCUACAAUUAGAAAUCAGGGAUGUGGAUUUUCAUAUGUGGUUACAGUAAGCUUAAAACAGGUUUCAGUCAUCUGACAUUCUACUUGUGAUGAUACAGAACACCGUUCGGCCCUUUUGUUGAUGCCUGAAACGACAGAGACUCCUGAAUGUUAGAUAAGAGGAACUUACAACUGGAUACUUUUCAACUAUUCCCUCAGGUCCUAAUUCAUUGCUGGAGAUGCAUGAGGACUUCUGUUCCCAUCAACACUGGGCAUAAACUUCUUGAAAGAAUGAAACGGCUACCAAUGACAAUCCCAAGUUUGAAAGAGAAAAUGUGCCAGACUUUCCUCGGGGCCAGAUAAUACAUUCAAAUUAG
This is a long non-coding RNA of Neogale vison (American mink), 503 nucleotides long. RefSeq lists it as uncharacterized. Lineage: Eukaryota; Metazoa; Chordata; Mammalia; Carnivora; Mustelidae. The record is from RefSeq and is a predicted model, not a curated record. The transcript is spliced from 3 exons.